UCGAGCCCAACACAAAAUCAAACCAUAAUAUUGACUUUACAUAAUUAAAUAUUUAAUCAAAAUAAUAAAAGAUAAUAGAAGGUAAAAAAAAGAGGAAAAAAAAUAAUGUUGCAAUAUGAUGGAGAAGUAUGGUGAAGGGGGGAAAACAUGUAACGACAACUAGCAGAAAAAUCGUGUAUCAUACAAAUUCGAAAUUCCAAAAAACCGAAUAUGCAAUCGAAUAAAAAUUCAAACAACAAAAACCCAAACUUAC
This 253-nucleotide long non-coding RNA is filed under the name Lathyrus oleraceus (garden pea). RNAcentral's name for it is "Pisum sativum (pea) long non-coding RNA (PSAT_LNC014611)". The record is from RNAcentral. Lineage: Eukaryota; Viridiplantae; Streptophyta; Magnoliopsida; Fabales; Fabaceae.